UUAAAUGCCAUGACAGGGAAGAGUAUGCAUAGUAUUAUUCAAAAGAGAGCAGGAGAAGCUGAAAACCUGUGGAUACCUAUUAUGUUGAAAAUCACCCUAGAGCUGCAGGCUGAAGUUAGUAAGCUGUGCCGGUCUAUUGAUCGUUAUCUUACAAGAAAAUUUUUGGGUGGUACCGCGAACAGACACUCGCCCCAGGG
RNAcentral lists this non-coding RNA (197 nucleotides) under Clostridium pasteurianum. Its description in RNAcentral is "T-box sequence". It matches the Rfam family "T-box leader". From Rfam's summary of the family: Uncharged tRNA acts as the effector for transcription antitermination of genes in the T-box leader family. T-boxes are found upstream of many aminoacyl-tRNA synthetase genes and some amino acid biosynthetic genes usually in Gram-positive bacteria. Lineage: Bacteria; Bacillati; Bacillota; Clostridia; Eubacteriales; Clostridiaceae. The record is from RNAcentral.